GUGCCAGAGCAUGCUUGCAUGCGUUGGUGCAUCGACAUUGGCCGGGCAGGAUAUCAUGAGCAGGAAGGGCGAGAGCCCGGACUGCGAAUGAUGUCCGUGAUUGCGGGAACGCCGAAGGCGUGGAGCAAUCA
Molecule: small RNA, 131 nt
Filed under: uncultured Eisenbergiella sp.
Lineage: Bacteria; Bacillati; Bacillota; Clostridia; Lachnospirales; Lachnospiraceae
Description: Clostridiales-1 RNA
Rfam family: Clostridiales-1 RNA
Source: RNAcentral